AGGCGCUGGCGGAGGCGGCAGCCUCCUAGCACCUCUUACAGCUGCCGCCGCAGACGCCAACCCGGGCGGAGGGGGCGCAGGCGUUAGUAGUGCCCACCACCACGUUGCUGUUGCUGGGGACGCUACUGACUCUGGUGGAGACAACAGGGGCAGUAGUGGAGGCGCAGAGAUCGCCACAGACAACGCCACCGCGGGAGCUGCUGACGCCUGCAGGGGAAAGAGACGGAGGCGCGCGUCAGGCGCAGCCGCGACCUGGGUGAGUGGCUUUGCUGCGAGCCCACGCGCCCUUUGCCCAGAGGCUCCCAGACCCGCCCAGCGGGAGGAGGGGACGGACCCCACUACUUACAGACAUUCACCGAGCCGACGCCCUCGCACAGCCUGCAGGGAGAGAAGGCGAGAGGGCCAAGGGCCUGACUGUCCACAAAAAAAAAGGAGCUUCGAGUGAGACCAACUGACCAACUAGGGGAAAGAAACCAAGGGCAAAGAAUGAGCUCACAUUCUGGGAGUGUUGUCCUUCUGGGAGCAGGAGCUGUAUAGCUGCCCUCCAGCUGUAUCGCUGGCCUCCAGCCAUAGGAAGGCUGAGUGACCAAUGGGUCUUCUCCACUCCCCCCACCUCUGAAGCAAGCAAACAAGCAAAAAUCCUGAAAGCAAGGCAUAACUGCCCCAAGGGAUAAGUCCUUGCUCUCUGCCUAACUCAUUCCCACCUGCCACAAUGGAAUACCACUUUGGGAUGCUCAUUGGCACUAUAAUAGAAAAGCAUGAGUUGAUAGUGUCAUCUAUCUGAAGCUGUCCUUAUGGGAUACAUCUGAACUCCCAGGUCUAGAUGGGGCCAGGGCCAGACUAGGAAAAAGAGAAGGAAUCCU
RNAcentral lists this long non-coding RNA (863 nucleotides) under Homo sapiens (human). RNAcentral describes it as "HSALNT0368227". The record is from RNAcentral. Lineage: Eukaryota; Metazoa; Chordata; Mammalia; Primates; Hominidae.